This 496-nucleotide ribosomal RNA is filed under the name uncultured bacterium. RNAcentral describes it as "partial 16S ribosomal RNA". It matches the Rfam family "Bacterial small subunit ribosomal RNA", at positions 28 to 506 of the family's 1533-position model. The record is from RNAcentral.
GAUGAACGCUGGCGGCGUGCCUAAUACAUGCAAGUCGAGCGAACAGAUAAGGAGCUUGCUCCUUUGACGUUAGCGGCGGACGGGUGAGUAACACGUGGGUAACCUACCUAUAAGACUGGGAUAACUUCGGGAAACCGGAGCUAAUACCGGAUAACAUUUGGAACCGCAUGGUUCUAAAGUGAAAGAUGGUUUUGCUAUCACUUAUAGAUGGACCCGCGCCGUAUUAGCUAGUUGGUAAGGUAACGGCUUACCAAGGCGACGAUACGUAGCCGACCUGAGAGGGUGAUCGGCCACACUGGAACUGAGACACGGUCCAGACUCCUACGGGAGGCAGCAGUAGGGAAUCUUCCGCAAUGGGCGAAAGCCUGACGGAGCAACGCCGCGUGAGUGAUGAAGGGUUUCGGCUCGUAAAACUCUGUUAUUAGGGAAGAACAAAUGUGUAAGUAACUGUGCACGUCCUGACGGUACCUAAUCAGAAAGCCACGGCUAACUACGU